This 446-nucleotide ribosomal RNA is filed under the name uncultured bacterium. RNAcentral's name for it is "partial 16S ribosomal RNA". It matches the Rfam family "Bacterial small subunit ribosomal RNA", at positions 338 to 795 of the family's 1533-position model. The record is from RNAcentral.
CCUACGGGCGGCAGCAGUCGAGAAUCAUUCACAAUGGGGGAAACCCUGAUGGGGCGACGCCGCGUGGGGGAAUGAAGGUCUGCGGAUUGUAAACCCCUGUCAUGUGGGAGCAAAUUAAAAAGAUAGUACCACAAGAGGAAGAGACGGCUAACUCUGUGCCAGCAGCCGCGGGAAUACAGAGGUCUCAAGCGUUGUUCGGAAUCACUGGGCGUAAAGCGUGCGUAGGCUGUUCCGUAAGUCGGGUGUGAAAGGCGCGGGCUCAACCCGCGGACGGCACAUGAUACUGCGAGACUAGAGUAAUGGAGGGGGAACCGGAAUUCUCGGUGUAGCAGUGAAAUGCGUAGAUAUCGAGAGGAACACUCGUGGCGAAGGCGGGUUCCUGGACAUUAACUUACGCUGAGGCACGAAGGCCAGGGGAGCGAAAGGGAUUAGAUACCCGGGUAGUC